UUCGAGUCGUUGAUUUCACACUGCCGAGAAAAGCCUCUAGAUAGAAAAUAGGUGCCCGUACCGCAAACCGACACAGGUAGUCAAGAUGAGAAUUCUAAGGUGAGCGAGCGAACUCUCGUUAAGGAACUCGGCAAAAUGACCCCGUAACUUCGGGAGAAGGGGUGCUCUUUAGGGUUAACGCCCAGAAGAGCCGCAGUGAAUAGGCCCAAGCGACUGUUUAUCAAAAACACAGGUCUCUGCUAAACCGUAAGGUGAUGUAUAGGGGCUGACGCCUGCCCGGUGCUGGAAGGUUAAGAGGAGUGGUUAGCUUCUGCGAAGCUACGAAUCGAAGCCCCAGUAAACGGCGGCCGUAACUAUAACGGUCCUAAGGUAGCGAAAUUCCUUGUCGGGUAAGUUCCGACCCGCACGAAAGGCGUAACGAUUUGGGCACUGUCUCAACGAGAGACUCGGUGAAAUCAUAGUACCUGUGAAGAUGCAGGUUACCCGCGACAGGACGGAAAGACCCCGUGGAGCUUUACUGUAGCCUGAUAUUGAAAUUCGGCACAGCUUGUACAGGAUAGGUAGGAGCCUUUGAAACGUGAGCGCUAGCUUACGUGGAGGCGCUGGUGGGAUACUACCCUAGCUGUGUUGGCUUUCUAACCCGCACCACUUAUCGUGGUGGGAGACAGUGUCAGGCGGGCAGUUUGACUGGGGCGGUCGCCUCCUAAAAGGUAACGGAGGCGCUCAAAGGUUCCCUCAGAAUGGUUGGAAAUCAUUCAUAGAGUGUAAAGGCAUAAGGGAGCUUGACUGCGAGACCUACAAGUCGAGCAGGGUCGAAAGACGGACUUAGUGAUCCGGUGGUUCCGCAUGGAAGGGCCAUCGCUCAACGGAUAAAAGCUACCCCGGGGAUAACAGGCUUAUCUCCCCCAAGAGUUCACAUCGACGGGGAGGUUUGGCACCUCGAUGUCGGCUCAUCGCAUCCUGGGGCUGUAGUCGGUCCCAAGGGUUGGGCUGUUCGCCCAUUAAAGCGGUACGCGAGCUGGGUUCAGAACGUCGUGAGACAGUUCGGUCCCUAUCCGUCGUGGGCGUAGGAAAUUUGAGAGGAGCUGUCCUUAGUACGAGAGGACCGGGAUGGACAUACCUCUGGUGUACCAGUUGUCGUGCCAACGGCAUAGCUGGGUAGCUAUGUGUGGACGGGAUAAGUGCUGAAAGCAUCUAAGCAUGAAGCCCCCCUCAAGAUGAGAUUUCCCAACUUCGGUUAUAAGAUCCCUCAAAGAUGAUGAGGUUAAUAGGUUCGAGGUGGAAGCAUGGUGACAUGUGGAGCUGACGAAUACUAAUCGAUCGAAGACUUAAUC
Molecule: ribosomal RNA, 1334 nt
Filed under: Staphylococcus aureus M0182
Lineage: Bacteria; Bacillati; Bacillota; Bacilli; Caryophanales; Staphylococcaceae
Description: bacterial LSU rRNA
Rfam family: Bacterial large subunit ribosomal RNA
Source: RNAcentral